This 442-nucleotide ribosomal RNA is filed under the name uncultured soil bacterium. Its description in RNAcentral is "bacterial SSU rRNA". It matches the Rfam family "Bacterial small subunit ribosomal RNA", at positions 26 to 518 of the family's 1533-position model. The record is from RNAcentral.
AGAGCGAACGCUGGCGGCAGGCCUAACACAUGCAAGUCGAACGGACCCUUCGGGGUUAGUGGCGGACGGGUGAGUAACACGUGGGAACGUGCCUUUUGGUUCGGAAUAGCUCCUGGAAACGGGUGGUAAUGCCGAAUGUGCCCUUCGGGGGAAAGAUUUAUCGCCAUUAGAGCGGCCCGCGUCUGAUUAGCUAGUUGGUAAGGUAAUGGCUUACCAAGGCGACGAUCAGUAGCUGGUCUGAGAGGAUGACCAGCCACAUUGGGACUGGGACACGGCCCAAACUCCUACGGGAGGCAGCAGUGGGGAAUCUUGCGCAAUGGGCGAAAGCCUGACGCAGCCAUGCCGCGUGAAUGAUGAAGGUCUUAGGAUUGUAAAAUUCUUUCACCGGGACGAUAAUGACGGUACCCGGAGAAGAAGCCCGCUAACUCGUGCCAGCAGCCGC